AAUCAGUUAAAUGUUGUUUUCCAUUCGCCUGAAAUCAUCACUUUUCAUGAAAAUUGACAAAGAGUUAUUUCCCUUUGCUGACUCUUUUGCACUGAAGACAAAAAAUAGUUGACUCUUCUGUCAAAAGAAGUUUCUAACAACAUGUGACAAAACAGACACCAGGAAAAUAAAAUGUUUAAGUUGUGAGUGACAAAGUAAGUCAUCAAUCAAUUAAUGAAAAUGAAAGAGACAGGUCUUGUGAAAUACUGACUAGAGGGAUUCCAUCUAUUCUAAAGACCCAUACGUACAUUAUGCAGUUAUGAUGCAAAUGGAAGAAAACGUUAAAAAGCAGUGGAUACGGCCACCCGGAAAUCAGUAGGAAUGGAUCUACCCUAGGAACAGAUGUACCAAUACAGUUCAAACUAUGAAAAUAAAGAUGAAAAGAUACAUUGAGAAUCCAUUUUCAGUAAAAGCAGAACUGUGACACAGGAGCAUCACCUUUGAAAGGUUACAAAUGUUACAAAUGACACCAAUGAAGGAUACAUGAGCAACUGU
Long non-coding RNA from Saccostrea cuccullata (small rock oyster), 534 nucleotides. RefSeq lists it as uncharacterized. The transcript is spliced from 3 exons. Lineage: Eukaryota; Metazoa; Mollusca; Bivalvia; Ostreida; Ostreidae. The record is from RefSeq and is a predicted model, not a curated record.